This is a long non-coding RNA of Fundulus heteroclitus (mummichog), 221 nucleotides long. RefSeq lists it as uncharacterized. The transcript is spliced from 3 exons. Lineage: Eukaryota; Metazoa; Chordata; Actinopteri; Cyprinodontiformes; Fundulidae. The record is from RefSeq and is a predicted model, not a curated record.
GGCCAAUGACAUUAGAGGAACAGCAGAAGGUUACUGAAAAGAUGAAAAAAGAACCCAAACAAGAACCUGAAACAUAUAUUUUGUGCAAAAAUCAAACAGAUGAACUUGUGUUCACAUCUCAAGUUGCGUCCUUAAGUGGAUCCCUCCGUCUUCCGACAGUUUUCAUCCUUCUACUCAUUGACAUAUGUGGAGUGGCAGCCGUCUAUGAAGUGACUCUCCAG